GUUUUAACCUGGCCAAUCAAUUUUGUGACAGAUGUCGGAUGAAAAAUCGUUAGAUGCACGUUUGAUUCCCACCAACUUCACGAUAAUUUGACGGAUUCGUUGGAUUGCACUAAAAUCAGUCGUUCACCAUAGACCUUAAGUCUCCCAAUUGCCUGCAGUACAUCUAGUAUUGGCUCUGGGACAGGGGUGGCCAAAAUGGAGAUCGGGAUCUACCAGUAGACCUUUAGCUGGUGAUCAGUAGGUCUCAAGACAUUGUCAACAGACAGCUUGUCUAAAUCACCCUUCUGUUUUAUUAUUUUCAUUCAGAUAUUUAUCAUAAUACUGCAUUAUAAAUGAUUACAUUCUUUAAUAUAGCAAUAUAAAUGUUCCCAUAAAUCAAUAUAAUACUUAAGUAAUACAAAAUGCUAACAAUGCUAUUAUGGAUGUAGAUCAUAAUGGGUCAACAUCUUGAAAAGUAGACCCCAUAUUAGUAAAGUAUGGGCACUCCUGCUCUAGGAAGAGUAGAUGAGAUGCUAAUUGAAUAGGAAAGUACAUAGGAUGAUGGGGUGUUGUCUCAGGGGAGGGAAAUAUUACCAGGCAUUUUAUACCAUCACAUUAAAUUCCUUUCUCUUAAAGGUUCUCUUUCACUCAGGAGCAACCUGGGAACAUACAGCUAUAGUUGGUGUCUCUCCCAUGCGGCUGUUGUCUCACAUUCUCAUUUAUUAGCUUUCCAAUAUUCACGGAUGGCACAUAUAGGCUUUCUGCCCAAUCAGUUACAGAUAGAAUAGAAAAUAACAUGCAGGAACGUUGUUUGCUCUGGGGCUACAGCAGAUUGUUAAAGGGGAUCUUAACCUCGUGAAACAGAUUCAUGUAAAACUGCUCAUUUGAACACCUUUGCUCGUGGCAUUAUUAGUUCUUUUUUUUAUUAGCGGCCAUGCAUGACUAUUAGUACAACGAUACUACAACACUAACUCACAUUGUUUUCUACAUCACAAGGAGCAAAAGGAGCAAAACAAAACUAGAAUUUUUUCGGGAUUUAUUAUACCCAGAGGAUGGAAAAGUCAGAAUCUCAGACCUGCGUGGUUGAAUAUAAAUCAAUGGGAGAAGUCCCGAAGAUAUCCCGAUCUGCACUGGGUUUUGUGCAAAAAUCUGAAGAUUUCAUGGUUUUCAGGCAAAAAUCCGAAAAACGUUUGUUUUCGGGCGGAGAAUCUGCAAAAUGCGUAUGAUUCGAAUCUUUGGAUGUUUUUUUUUUCGAGUUUUUUUCCCGAACUGGAAUUUUUAUCUGCAAAAUGUAUUGAUAAAUAACAGGAAAUAACCCAUGCAGAUUUGAUUGGAGUAUAUUUCAGAAAAUGAGAUAAAUUCAGAUUUUGAAAGAUAAGACUUUUGACACUUUUUCCUGGAGAUAGCGGCUCCCCGUUAAAGCCAUGUUUAAUGGCCCCUGUGGCAUCCAGAGAAUGGAAAAGAAAGAAGCUACAGUUGGGCUCAUUCUCUAACACGGUCUCUAUUAGAAUGUGCAAUUGGUGUAUUAAAGUCCAACAUUAGAAUGGUGAUUUACAACCUGGGGGUUGCAAAAAUGUGACCUUAGUGUUGAUUUACCAGCACUUUGGCCCCCUGGGUUGUUGCUCUGUGCGUGGGCACCAGAUCACAAAUCUGGAAUCAAGCGCUGACUAAUGCAACCGUUCUCAAUCCAAGGUGCAUCUGUGCUCCUGAAACAGAUUGCACUUUACACACUGUGUGCUACAUUGUUAAUGAUCUUUUAGGUGUUUGGACAAUUAGUGAUGCAUCAUUUCAGCUGCUUUUUAACCCUAUGCUCGUAUUCAAGUGUCUAGUUGCAUAACCGCAUGUGCUGAUGAUGGAUUAUAUUAAAUAAUAGCGCCCUGCACAGUGCUAAAGUGAUGCGUCGAUAAGUGAUGAUACAGGAACAUAUUAACAACCUACAUAUGUGAGAAGAGCUGCAAUUUGUUAAUCAACUAAUGGCUUCUUCACUUCUUUCUUCAAUCGAAGGGACGAGGAACUUGGCAAGGAAGAGGAUCCCCAAGCCAAGAAGUUCAGGACUGGAACAUCUCUGCACAUGACUUUCCUCUCCUGCUUCAUGUGCAUUUUUUUGCUAAUUCUAAAGGCACAAUCAUUAGACUGACAGGUUUAGGAGGAGGAGCUAAAGGCACAAUCAUUAGUACAAGGCACAGGUGCAGUGAGAGUCACCUGAUGUCAGAUUGACAGGUUUAAGAGGAGGCGCUAAAGGCACAUUAAUAAAAAAAUGUUUCUUUUGAGCUUUAACUAUCUCCUACAUAGCAGAUCCAUCCUGUGCUUCAUACAGAUCUUGUUAAAUGUGUUUCCAAAUUCUUUUUUUCAUGUCACAUGCUUCCUCCUCUGUCGCCAGUUAUUAUGGAUAGACAAUAUGAAUUUACGUAGAGGAUAUAUUCAACUUCAGAAUUAUACAUCUUCAGUAUUGACUAUUCAUUUCCUUAUUUCAAUAUUAUUUUGUCACUAAAAUGGACACCAUCCCAUGUGCAUGGUUAAACAUUUUACUAAAUGUAUUUUUAUAUAUAACUCAAACUGACUGCACACUAACUAACCCUGUGUGUGUUUUUGAAGGUUUUCAUUCAUCCAGGUCAUUGUAUAUCUAAUAGAAGUAAAUCUAGAGUAACUAGACUUGCUGAUAAAUCAUUGAAGAUAUUUGUUAGUCUUGAUUUAAUUGAUUAUAUUUGUCUAUAGCGCUGCACCUGAGUCUGGAAGGUGGCCAUGAGCUCAGGUGCAGUAAGAGUCCUUUCCCCCAGGCAGAGGAGUUGCAGCACAGCCUGACAGUGCUUGUGCUGCACUGGUGUAACUGCGGGGACACUUCAGGGGCGGGUCAUCCAUAGUGAAGGAGGAAAUGACCAUAUGGGGUUUGCCUUGUACCCCACGGGGUGGCACCUCUAGCCUGAGGGGAUUGCCCCUGCUUGCACCCUCCCUAGCACUCAUGAGGGUGACCCAGUGUGCAGUAUAUGAGAUGUAACUCCUCUGCCCAUGUCUGCUGGUCCAUGGUGUAGUGCACCCUCCAGCGACAGGGACACAUUCUCCACAACCUGCUGGUGGAGUGCAGGGAUGGCCUUCCUGGCAAAAUAAUGGGGAGCCAGCACUUCUUCCCUGAGGAAUGGGAGGAGGUGGACUGGAUGCUGAGAAAAAUAAAUGCCUGUACCUGUGAUUCAAAAGGGGGGGUGUUCCCAGGUUUAUUGAAGUGCUCAUGACAUUUAGGUUAGAUCAGGAGGUGGACCGGGAGCCUUGUCAUAUUGGUGCUGCUCCCACAUCAUCCUGUGAUGAGGUUUUAUAUGGGAACUUAAAGCCGACAUUCCCAUAUGUGACCCUGUCUGCCCCCUACAAACUUUCUGCCGGCAGAGCUGACGCACUCCUAAGUUUGCCAGUUGCCCACUGUCACCCAAUGCCACUUGCUGCUAUGGCGCUUGUUGCUGCUGCUGUGAUUGUAGCUGCUGCUUCACUAUAGUAGCCCGUCUGGGCAUGGCAUUUGGCUAGGCUGUUGCAGGGUAGCAUGCUCAUGGCCAGCACCAUGGCCUCUUCCUAUCCCACCCUUCCUCCCAUCCCUCUCCCAUGGCCUAUCAUACUAAUCGCAUCUGAACUACAAAAAAAAUAAGGGGGUGUUUUGGAUAUCUGGGGGAAGGAAAGGAGAAAAAAAUAAAACCCUAAACUAAAACCCCUCAGCAUAAGGAAUACAGACACAAACAGUCAAUGACAGUUAGCCAUGACAAGGGCUAUUGGGAGGUGAGCAGGCAAGCAGAAGAGGGAAAACA
Long non-coding RNA from Xenopus laevis (African clawed frog), 3764 nucleotides. RefSeq lists it as uncharacterized. Lineage: Eukaryota; Metazoa; Chordata; Amphibia; Anura; Pipidae. The transcript is spliced from 2 exons. The record is from RefSeq and is a predicted model, not a curated record.